CCAGCAAUGGCUGCUCACUGAAAUCAUUCAUGGAUCCUCUACAGACAUGAUUCGUUUUCUUCGUCGCAUUCACUGCAUAUAAUGUACGUUUAUUUGCCAGAAACUGUACAUUUAACAGAAGACGUAAGGUGAUUCGAUAAAUUUCCGCGCGAGACAAAAUACUGUUCGUUUGCACUGAUUGUUAGUAAUGUUUUCAGCUAAGUUAGCGCGUGAUGUUUAACAAAGCUACAAUAUCAAAAAUCACUGAUCUAAGCGGCAUUUUUUUGUUAUUUUUAGAAUCGAACUAAUAAUCAUAUGAAAGAAGAGGUGUUUUAGAGAUGUUUUGUGUUGGCGGUAAAGUUAAAUAUUACAUAAUCUGCUUAACUACAAAUGCAGUUCUAGUAAGAAUGACUACACAAUUUCUAGGUGACUGUAAACAAGCCAAUAAAGACUCUCUAAAGGUUCUAUUAGAUUUAGACAUAGAAGUUAUUCUUUGAUGUCAUUGUAAUGUAUGAUAUUACCAGUUUUAAGAUUGUUGGUUCCAGAAUGAAGUUGUCCAUAGUUCAUCAGAAUGCCUGCAGGUCAAAGUGAUGUGUAAGCUAAGACCAAAGCUCGCUUUGAUGAGGUGUUGAAGAGUUAACACAAACCCAGAAGCCAAACAGAUCAUUGACCAGUCUCAGGAAAUCAUUGUGCUUCAAACCUUGAAGAAGAACCUAGAUUUGAGUAAAGAUACUGAAGAUGAUGAAGCUAUCCUCCAUAACACAUAUGAUCCAGCUCAGGGCAGCCCUAGAUUCACCAAAAACAGGCGCAGAGAGAGAGAAGCAUCAGAAAAGACCAACAUAAACAAUGCCGUAAGCGAGAAGGAACCAGCGCUGACCGGUGGGAAAAAGAAAAGCAAAAGGAAGCUCCCACAACCACCAGCUCUUGUACAAGAUAAAGAAGACCACGAAAGGAGGACUAAGACAAAGAUUGAUGGAAAACACACUAGGAAGACUAGAAAAGGAAAGUGUCACAGUGUCUGGGUUGUGUUCCCUGGGGUUCCACUAGAUGUCCUCCUUUCUCACGGUGUCUGUCACCAGAUCACUUCCUGUUCCCUUAUUUGGUCACCUUCCUCCUUGUUGUGUAAUUGAUUGUUUCCCCACCUGUCUCCUGUUUCCUCAUUAUCCUUCUGUGUAUAAAUACCCAGUCUGUCUUAGUCUGUGUUACGGAGUCCUUGUCUAAUGUCUUUGCGUCUUACAGGUCCGUCAACUCUUGCCCUUGUCUUGCCUUGUGUUCGUGUCUUGUUUAUGUGGAUUGAUGUUUUGGUUUCGACCCCUGCCUGGACUGUUUACCCCGAUUGGAAUACCCCUAUUAAACUUACAUACCUGCACUUGGUUCUCUCUCCUCGUUUCUGCAACACCGAACGUGACAGAAAGAGUAAAAAUGGAAAUGAUGUCAGUAGACAGAAGGAAGAGACAGAGACAGAAGAUUAUUAUCUGCAGGCGUAUCAACAUCAGAUCUCACAAGAGGAAGAGAAGAAAGCUGCAGAGAGCCAGCUGCUAAACAAUGAGUUGGAGAAGAUGAAGGAGAAGGUGAAAUCAAACAAACAUGAUGGUGACAGAAGCGUAUAAUGGAACUGGAAGCAAGUGAACCACCGCACAGCUUCCUCUACAUGGAUGAAGCUGGCUUCAACCUAACAAAACGUAGAAGGAGGGGUCGAACUAUCAUCGGCCACAGAGCUACGGUUGAUGUGCCAGGCCAACGGGGCGGAAACAUAACCAUGGGUUGUGCAAUCGUGUGCCAACGCAUAUUCCCAUUAUUGGGCCAUACAAUACAGAGCUUGUCACCAUUUUAGACACUCUCUACAGGGAUCUCAUCCCUGAACAAGAGAGGGGUCAGAUUGGAGAUCACCUGCCAAAGUAUGUGAUCGUUAGGGACCACGUCAGUUUCCAUCAUUCCAACAUCAUCAGGCAAUGGUUUGCUGCCCAUGACAGGAUGCUGAUGGAGUUCCUCCCACCCUACUCUCCAUUCCUUAAACCCAUUUAGGAAUUUUUUUCAGCAUUUAGAUGGAAAGUAUAUGAUCAUCAGCCACAUACACAAAUGACCCUUGUGGCUGCCAUGGAUGCAGCAUGUGACGACAUCACAGCAGAUGCCUGUAGAGGCUGGAUAAGACACUCAAAAAGAUGCAUUGCAAGAGAAGAUGUUCGUUGUGAUGUGGAUGAGAAUUUGUGACCCAACAGACAGGAUCGUCAAGAGGUGUAGGAAGAUUGCAAUUCCUUACUUUAAUUUCUACAGCAUGCAUGUACAGUUUUUCCUAUGUUCACAUUUCUUCUUUAGGUUUUUUUUUUGUGUGCUAUUCAGUGCUGUC
Carassius gibelio (silver crucian carp) is the source of this 2326-nucleotide long non-coding RNA. RefSeq lists it as uncharacterized. The record is from RefSeq and is a predicted model, not a curated record. Lineage: Eukaryota; Metazoa; Chordata; Actinopteri; Cypriniformes; Cyprinidae. The transcript is spliced from 4 exons.